UUGGAGGGCAAGUCUGGUGCCAGCAGCCGCGGUAAUUCCAGCUCCAAUAGCGUAUAUUAAAGUUGUUGCAGUUAAAAAGCUCGUAGUUGAAUUUCGGAAUUUUUUUAUCGGUUGAAUCAACAGGUUCGUACUGAUUUUAAGAAUUUCUACCUUCUGGAGAACCUUAAUGUCAUUUAUUUGGUGUUUUGGGAAACCAGGACUGUUACCUUGAAAAAAUUAGAGUGUUUAAAGCAGGCUUAAGUCUGAAUACAUUAGCAUGGAAUAAUGAAAUAGGACGGAUUGGUUCUAUUUUGUUGGUUUCUAGGAUCACCGUAAUGAUUAAUAGGGAUAGUUGGGGGCAUUAGUAUUCAAUUGUCAGAGGUGAAAUUCUUGGAUUUAUUGAAGACUAACUUCUGCGAAAGCAUUUGCCAAGGAUGUUUUCAUUAAUCAAGAACGAAAGUUAGGGGAUCGAAGACGAUCAGAUACCGUCGUAGUCUUAACCAUAAACUAUGCCGACUAGGGAUCGGACGAAGUUAAUUUUUAGAUGACUCGUUCGGCGCCUUACGGGAAAC
This 551-nucleotide ribosomal RNA is filed under the name uncultured Pacispora. RNAcentral describes it as "SSU rRNA". It matches the Rfam family "Eukaryotic small subunit ribosomal RNA", at positions 548 to 1098 of the family's 1831-position model. Lineage: Eukaryota; Fungi; Glomeromycota; Glomeromycetes; Diversisporales; Pacisporaceae. The record is from RNAcentral.